This 305-nucleotide ribosomal RNA is filed under the name uncultured bacterium. Its description in RNAcentral is "bacterial SSU rRNA". It matches the Rfam family "Bacterial small subunit ribosomal RNA", at positions 338 to 638 of the family's 1533-position model. The record is from RNAcentral.
CCUACGGGGGGCAGCAGUGAGGAAUAUUGGUCAAUGGACGCAAGUCUGAACCAGCCAAGCAGCGUGCAGGAUGACGGCCCUCCGGGUUGUAAACUGCUUUUAGUUGGGAAUAAAAGGGGGCUCGUGAGCCCCGUAUUGUAUGUACCAUCAGAAAAAGGACCGGCUAAUUCCGUGCCAGCAGCCGCGGUAAUACGGAAGGUCCGGGCGUUAUCCGGAUUUAUUGGGUUUAAAGGGUGCGUAGGCGGUCGGAUAAGUUAGAGGUGAAAUCCCGAGGCUCAACUUCGGAAUUGCCUCUGAUACUGUUC